UUAAUUUAUUGCUGAUUAAAGGCACCCAUAUGCACAAAACAGCGCAUGUGUGACUGCAGUGCAGGCUUCCCCAUGUUGCCCCACCCAUGUGCCUCAAUCUUGACUUCAUCUAGACAAGAGAAGGUAGCUUAGUUUCUGUAUCUUUUAGUUCUUUGACCUU
This 160-nucleotide small RNA is filed under the name Chrysemys picta bellii (western painted turtle). Its description in RNAcentral is "TUC338 (ENSCPBG00000016270.1)". Lineage: Eukaryota; Metazoa; Chordata; Testudines; Emydidae. The record is from RNAcentral.